Molecule: ribosomal RNA, 486 nt
Filed under: uncultured bacterium
Lineage: Bacteria
Description: partial 16S ribosomal RNA
Rfam family: Bacterial small subunit ribosomal RNA
Source: RNAcentral
AUUGAACGCUGGCGGCAUGCCUUACACAUGCAAGUCGAACGGCAGCACGGGUGCUUGCACCUGGUGGCGAGUGGCGAACGGGUGAGUAAUACAUCGGAACAUGUCCUGUAGUGGGGGAUAGCCCGGCGAAAGCCGGAUUAAUACCGCAUACGAUCUACGGUUGAAAGCGGGGGACCUUCGGGCCUCGCGCUAUAGGGUUGGCCGAUGGCUGAUUAGCUAGUUGGUGGGGUAAAGGCCUACCAAGGCGACGAUCAGUAGAUGGUCUGAGAGGACGACCAGCCACACUGGGACUGAGACACGGCCCAGACUCCUACGGGAGGCAGCAGUGGGGAAUUUUGGACAAUGGGCGAAAGCCUGAUCCAGCAAUGCCGCGUGUGUGAAGAAGGCCUUCGGGUUGUAAAGCACUUUUGUCCGGAAAGAAAUCCUUGGCUCUAAUACAGUCGGGGGAUGACGGUACCGGAAGAAUAAGCACCGGCUAACUACGUG